ACACGGGAUUCCUCAGUAACGGCGAGUGAAGCGGUAACAGCUCAAAUUUGAAAGCUGCCAACAGGCCGCGUUGUAAUUUGUAGAAGCUGCUUUGGGUGUCGGCCCGGUCUAAGUUCCUUGGAACAGGACGUCAUAGAGGGUGAGAAUCCCGUAUGUGAUCGGUGCCGUUGCCCGUGUAAAGCGCUUUCGACGAGUCGAGUUGUUUGGGAAUGCAGCUCAAAAUGGGUGGUAAAUUUCAUCUAAAGCUAAAUAUUGGCCAGAGACCGAUAGCGCACAAGUAGAGUGAUCGAAAGAUGAAAAGCACUUUGGAAAGAGAGUUAAACAGUACGUGAAAUUGUUGAAAGGGAAGCGCUUGCAACCAGACUUGCGGGCGGUCGAUCAUCCGAGGUUCUCCCCGGUGCACUCGAUCGUUCUCAGGCCAGCAUCGGUUUCCGGGGUGGGAUAAAGGCGGUGGGAAUGUGGCUCUUCGGAGUGUUAUAGCCCACCGUGCAGUGCCGCCACUGGGGACCGAGGACCGCGCUUCGGCUAGGAUGCUGGCGUAAUGGUUGUAAGCGACCCGUCUUGAAACACGGACCAAGGAGUCUAACAUCUAUGCGAGUGUUUGGGUGUCAAACCCAUACGCGUAAUGAAAGUGAACGGAGGUAAGAGCCCUUUAGGGUGCAUUAUCGACCGAUCCUGAUGUCUUCGGAUGGAUUUGAGUAAGAGCAUAGCUGUUGGGACCCGAAAGAUGGUGAACUAUGCGUGAAUAGGGUGAAGCCAGAGGAAACUCUGGUGGAGGCUCGCAGCGGUUCUGACGUGCAAAUCGAUCGUCAAAUUUGCGUAUAGGGGCGAAAGACUAAUCGAACCAUCUAGUAGCUGGUUCCUGCCGAAGUUUCCCUCAGGGUAGCAGUGUUGUUUUCAGUUUUAUGAGGUAAAGCGAAUGAUUAGAGGCCU
This 933-nucleotide ribosomal RNA is filed under the name uncultured fungus. Its description in RNAcentral is "LSU rRNA". It matches the Rfam family "Eukaryotic large subunit ribosomal RNA", at positions 68 to 1030 of the family's 3401-position model. Lineage: Eukaryota; Fungi. The record is from RNAcentral.